Non-coding RNA from Dipodomys ordii (Ord's kangaroo rat), 65 nucleotides. Lineage: Eukaryota; Metazoa; Chordata; Mammalia; Rodentia; Heteromyidae. The record is from Rfam.
GGUGGCUCAGUGGUAGAGUACUUGCCUUGCAUGCAUGAAGCCCUGGGUUCGAUUCCUCAGCACCA